This 352-nucleotide unclassified non-coding RNA is filed under the name soil metagenome. RNAcentral's name for it is "partial contains 5.8S ribosomal RNA, internal transcribed spacer 2, and large subunit ribosomal RNA". The stretch from base 1 to 120 matches the Rfam family "5.8S ribosomal RNA", at positions 35 to 154 of the family's 154-position model. The record is from RNAcentral.
GAUGAAGAACGUAGCGAAAUGCGAUACGUAGUGUGAAUUGCAGAAUUCAGUGAAUCAUCGAAUCUUUGAACGCACAUUGCGCCCUUUGGUAUUCCAAAGGGCAUGCCUGUUCGAGCGUCAUUUGUACCUUCAAGCUUUGCUUGGUGUUGGGCGUCUUUUUGUCUCUCCUUUGCGGGAGACUCGCCUUAAAACGAUUGGCAGCCGGCCUACUGGUUUCGGAGCGCAGCACAUUUUUUGCGCUUUGCAUCAGGAGAAAAGGACGGUACUCCAUCAAGACGUUUACAUUUUUCACUUUUGACCUCGGAUCAGGUAGGGAUACCCGCUGAACUUAAGCAUAUCAAUAAGCGGAGGA